AUGAUUUUCAAGAAAUUAAUAGCUAAUCUUGGAGAGUUCUACCAUGUUGGAUCAAGAGUAAAUACCAGGAGAUAUUUGUGGAAGCUUCUGAGAAGACACAUUGAACAGAAUGGGGUGUUUGCUUCCCUGGAUCAGAAAAGAAUCACAUCGCUUUCUUUCAGUCAUGGCACAGAGUUACAGAGUCACAAGAAAGAAACAACAGAAAGAGAAUGUUUUCUGGUGGAAAGGUGUGUGUCAGACUACACUCCACGGAAGAGAGUUUGUUUGAAGGCAGAACUCAAGGUCCUGAGCAACCAGCUUGGCUAGAAGAAGAUGGAUUUGGAGCCAGGACCAGUGAGCUGCCUCCGAUGAGAGUGACAGACUGUGUAAACAAUGGCAGAGUCUGAAUGACUGUAUUUGGGCUUCUGGGGUGUUGACUGCAGGUGAACAAAUCAAAUGCCUCUUCAAAGAGCUGCCUGAGAAGAGUUGGUGAAUAUCUCCUACUACUGGGGGAGAAACAGACAGCCUUGUGAAUUGCAGCCACUCAAAUGUCACAUAACUUCCACUAGUCAUCCUUCUGUGUAUACCCCUUCCAUCCUCUGGCUCAGUUUCCCCAGGGACUGCAUCUCCAGUCUCCUUUGAGGUGGGAGAAGGGUAGAUAUCAAAUACCUGAGACGGGGAAGGGGUCCUCACCCACUGAUACUCGCUGGUGGUAUACAUACCCCCUUCUUCUUAAAUGCAGUGUUUUAUCUGUUCCAUUAAUAGUGCAAUGGAUUGAAUGUUCGUGCCCGAGUCCCAACUCAUAUGUUGAAAUUCUAAUCCCCCGUGUGAUGGUGUUUGGAGGUGGGGCCUUCAGAUGUAAUUAGGAGUAGUGUCCUUAUAAAAGGGACCCCAGAUUGCUCUUUUGCCCUCUUUCCACCAUGUGCGGAUACAACAAGAAACCAUGGUCUACAACCUCGGAAGAUGGCUCUCACCAGGACCUGACCAUACUGGACUGAUCUGUGACUUCUAGCCUCCAGAACCGUGAGAAAUAAAUGUCUGUUGUUUAUAAGCCCCA
RNAcentral lists this long non-coding RNA (1036 nucleotides) under Ursus maritimus (polar bear). Its description in RNAcentral is "lncRNA (ENSUMAG00000018015.1)". The record is from RNAcentral. Lineage: Eukaryota; Metazoa; Chordata; Mammalia; Carnivora; Ursidae.